AUUGAACGCUGGCGGCAGGCCUAACACAUGCAAGUCGAACGGUAACAGAAAGCAGCUUGCUGCUUUGCUGACGAGUGGCGGACGGGUGAGUAAUGUCUGGGAAACUGCCUGAUGGAGGGGGAUAACUACUGGAAACGGUAGCUAAUACCGCAUAACGUCGCAAGACCAAAGAGGGGGACCUUCGGGCCUCUUGCCAUCGGAUGUGCCCAGAUGGGAUUAGCUAGUAGGUGGGGUAACGGCUCACCUAGGCGACGAUCCCUAGCUGGUCUGAGAGGAUGACCAGCCACACUGGAACUGAGACACGGUCCAGACUCCUACGGGAGGCAGCAGUGGGGAAUAUUGCACAAUGUGCGCAAGCCUGAUGCAGCCAUGCCGCGUGUAUGAAGAAGGCCUUCGGGUUGUAAAGUACUUUCAGCGGGGAGGAAGGGAGUAAAGUUAAUACCUUUGCUCAUUGACGUUACCCGCAGAAGAAGCACCGGCUAACUCCGUG
Molecule: ribosomal RNA, 490 nt
Filed under: uncultured bacterium
Lineage: Bacteria
Description: partial 16S ribosomal RNA
Rfam family: Bacterial small subunit ribosomal RNA
Source: RNAcentral